RNAcentral lists this long non-coding RNA (1072 nucleotides) under Homo sapiens (human). Its description in RNAcentral is "HSALNT0037057". The record is from RNAcentral. Lineage: Eukaryota; Metazoa; Chordata; Mammalia; Primates; Hominidae.
GUAAGUUCCAUGUGCCUUGGCUCAACUUCUGGUCCUCGCAGGAGACAGCCUUCUGCAAAAAAGCACACAGCAUGGCUUAAAGGGAAAAUAGUGGGUAUUUUGGCAGUUUUACACCACAGAUAGUGUACCAGUGACACUAAAUUGAAGUCAUUUAGUUGUAAAUGUGAUAUUACAUUUGAUGGUUUCCACUGGCAAAGCACUGAGCUGCCCACGUUAAACAGAGGCAAAGAAAUGGAACUUGGAGAGCAAAGCCAGUCACCAGAGUAGCAGACCAAAGGGGCUUGUAAAAGCGUUUGUCGAGUCAUUUAGAAUCAUAACUCAGCUCAACACACAUGGUACCAGGAACAGCCAGCUCAGUUUCAGCAGUGGAAAGCAGGCAAUGGAGUUUAUGUUGUUCUUCUGUUUAUUAAAGACGGAUGGGAGCACUCGACAGAAAAAUCAAACUUCUGGUCAUGGCUCAUUAAUCCCUGUUGUAUCUGUCAGGGGUAUGUGUUUGGAGUUCCAACAAGCCUCUAGAAGGAAGAUCACUGCUGAGCUUUGGUAUUUUCUCUAAUUUUGAAUGGAAAGAGACGCCAAUCACCUAGAAGGAGAAAUAGAAUACGAGGUUAUUUUUAACUCACCUACUUUAGUGGUCAUUAAACAUAAAUGAGUUGGUUUAAGACAAAAAUGAUUAUGGUUAAUAAUUUUAUUGCCAAUUUUUGUCAUAGGGCUUUCUUUAGGAGAAGCAGUAAGGUAAAGACAAAUGUGGAAUAAAGCCAGAUAUUAUGGCUGUUCUAGGAAAAGCUCAGCUUUUGGAGAUAGAUCUUUGGGUGAACCUGUGCAGACUCUUUGUGUGUGCCUGUGGUCAUUGAAGUGCAGCUUCUAUCAAAUUGUCUCCUGCCUCCUAAGCUGGAGAUGGAGAUAAGACCCUGGUCUACCCAGACUGUUUACAACAACCCAGAAGACAGGAGCAGCGCUAUUCUGAUCCCUGUGUUGGAAACAAUGGUCCUUUGUGAGACGAUAAACACACACCGUUGGCCAGGCGCAGUAGCUCACACCUGUAAUCCCAGCACUUUGGGAGGCCGAGGCGGAU